AUGCAUAAGCUCGUAAAUGUUCAUUAUUUGGACAAGUCGACAUUUAUGCUUGGAAAUGACGAUGAAGGGGAAGAGGCUAUGGUUUUUGACACAAGUCCAAGCUUUGAUGAUCUUGUAGUUAAAGUGAGAAGCGUUUUACAUUGGAAUGACUCAAAUGCCGUGGUUAAGCUUAUUGGGAGGUAUGACGUUGGAUUGGAAAUAAAUUCCCGAUUAAAGAGUAUGUCCAUCACCUCCCAAUUGCAUUGGAAUGUGUACAAGGAAAAAGUAGACGCAUCACAAGACAAGUCUCUUGAGAUCUUUGCCACAAAGGUUGAUCCUCCUCCUCCUUUGCAAAUUGAUCUCAACCGCAAUGCAUCCUCCCCCAGACAUGAUGAUAGUGCCGAGGUGUAUGUCCCCAAUUGUUCUAGCCAACCACCAAGUAGCCAACCC
This 429-nucleotide ribosomal RNA is filed under the name Triticum aestivum (bread wheat). RNAcentral describes it as "partial small subunit ribosomal RNA". Lineage: Eukaryota; Viridiplantae; Streptophyta; Magnoliopsida; Poales; Poaceae. The record is from RNAcentral.